Long non-coding RNA from Odocoileus virginianus texanus, 755 nucleotides. RefSeq lists it as uncharacterized. The record is from RefSeq and is a predicted model, not a curated record. Lineage: Eukaryota; Metazoa; Chordata; Mammalia; Artiodactyla; Cervidae.
AAGUAUUUUCUUUUCUUUUCAGACUUGAGUUACACACAGUGAACAGCAGGGGACACAAAAUUCAGAAGUUAUUCUCUACAUAGCAAUGCACAAUGAAACCUCAAGUUGUAGUGGAAAGCAGAUGAACUUUGGAGGCAGACAGACUGCUUGAUUCACCUUACUCCAUCACACGUGUCUGAGCAGUUGUCAUCUCCGAGAUAUCUUUUCUGAACACACUGCCUGAAAUACUCCCCACACGGCCAGUUAACUAUCCUCGUGACCUGCUUCAUUCUCUUCAGUUUCUGGAAUUAUAAAGCUUGCCAAAGGUGGUAAGUGUAGAUCCCUGGGUUGACAUUAUCUGUUCCUGCCAAUCCACAGCCAACCUUAAACUCUGCAAGGAUGCAAGGAGGUUCAAAAAUUUAAGACUGCCCCAAGAGAUUAAAGAAUGCCAGCUCAGUGCAAUGGACUGAAUGUCAUGACCCCCUCAACAUUCAUAUGUUGGAUCCUACCCCCCUUCAAUAUGAUGGUAUUAGGAGGUGGGGACUUUGGGAGAUAAUUAGGUCAUGAGAGUGGAGAUCUCAUGACUGAGACUGGUGUUCUGAAAAGAACUCAAGAGAGCUCUCUUGCCCUCUUUCCGCCACAUGAGGAUACAAGCAGAGGUCCGGGGUCUGCAAUCCAGAAGAGAGCUCUCACUAGACACUGAAUCUGUUGGAUCCUCCAUCCUGGACUUUCCAGACUCUAGAACUGUGAGAAAUAAAUGUUUGCUGUUUAAGCCA